UACGUAGGGUGCAAGCGUUAAUCGGAAUUACUGGGCGUAAAGGGCGCGCAGGUGGUUCUGUAAGUCAGACGUGAAAUCCCCGGGCUUAACCUGGGAACUGCGUUUGAAACUACAGGACUAGAGUGUGGCAGAGGGAGGUGGAAUUCCAUGUGUAGCAGUGAAAUGCGUAGAGAUAUGGAAGAACAUCGAUGGCGAAGGCAACCUCCUGGGUUAACACUGACGCUCAUGCACGAAAGCGUGGGGAGCAAACAGG
Molecule: ribosomal RNA, 253 nt
Filed under: uncultured bacterium
Lineage: Bacteria
Description: partial 16S ribosomal RNA
Rfam family: Bacterial small subunit ribosomal RNA
Source: RNAcentral